Molecule: ribosomal RNA, 164 nt
Filed under: Methanobacterium veterum
Lineage: Archaea; Methanobacteriati; Methanobacteriota; Methanobacteria; Methanobacteriales; Methanobacteriaceae
Description: partial 23S ribosomal RNA
Rfam family: Archaeal large subunit ribosomal RNA
Source: RNAcentral
UAGAUUAUAAAGGCUGAAAGCAUCUAAGCCUGAGGUUUCCCCCGAAAAUAAGCAACUUUUGGACAUGGGUAGAAGACCUGAUUGAUGGGGUAGGGGUGUAAGCUUCGAGGUUUUCGGACCGAGUUGUUCAGCCCGCUAUUUCCAACGUCCAUUUGGUGUGAUUU